CCGACCUUAGCUCAGUUGGUAGAGCGGAGGACUGUAGAUCCUUAGGUCACUGGUUCGAAUUCGGUAGGUCGGA
This is a non-coding RNA of Medicago truncatula (barrel medic), 73 nucleotides long. The record is from the annotation of a RefSeq genome assembly. Lineage: Eukaryota; Viridiplantae; Streptophyta; Magnoliopsida; Fabales; Fabaceae.